Molecule: transfer RNA, 63 nt
Filed under: Laemobothrion tinnunculi
Lineage: Eukaryota; Metazoa; Arthropoda; Insecta; Psocodea; Laemobothriidae
Description: tRNA-Val
Source: RNAcentral
AGAACUUUAGUUCAAAAAAGAACAUUUUAUUUACACUAAAAAAAUCUGCAUAAAGAGGUUCUA